UACGUAGGUGGCAAGCGUUGUCCGGAUUUAUUGGGUUUAAAGGGUGCGUAGGCGGCCCCCUAAGUCAGUGGUGAAAUACGGCAGCUCAACUGUCGAGGUGCCAUUGAUACUGGGGGGCUUGAGUACUGAUGAGGUAGGCGGAAUUGACGGUGUAGCGGUGAAAUGCUUAGAUAUCGUCAAGAACACCGAUAGCGAAGGCAGCUUACUAAGGAGUAACUGACGCUGAGGCACGAAAGUGCGGGGAUCAAACAGG
Molecule: ribosomal RNA, 253 nt
Filed under: uncultured bacterium
Lineage: Bacteria
Description: partial 16S ribosomal RNA
Rfam family: Bacterial small subunit ribosomal RNA
Source: RNAcentral